Long non-coding RNA from Vespula vulgaris, 6142 nucleotides. RefSeq lists it as uncharacterized. Lineage: Eukaryota; Metazoa; Arthropoda; Insecta; Hymenoptera; Vespidae. The transcript is spliced from 14 exons. The record is from RefSeq and is a predicted model, not a curated record.
GUUACGCGAAGAUUUGCCUUGUGUAAUAUAAACAUAUACGACUUUUAUUUAUUUUGACUAUUAUUUUCUUAAGUUUGUUUCUUCGCCGACAAGUACACAUCGUAGUAUACGCAGUACGCACUCUCCGCUAAUAACAGAGAAGAGUUAAUGUAAAUACAAAAUUAUAUCACUCAUUCUUUCAAUAUUGUAUACGAUUUUUGUUUUAGAAUUAGACGGAGUAGUGGGGAUCCUCAAGCAAUCGUGAAGUCUAUAUAAUCGGAGUGACUGGCAGUAAAUGGUUCAUUCAUGCCACGAAUCUGCACAAGUACACAUCGUAAUAUUCGCAGUACGCACUGUCCGCUAGUAACAGAGAAGAAUUAAUUCGGAGUAGUGGGGAUCGUCUCCCACUCGUGACGUCUAUAUAAUCGGAGUGACUGGCAGUAAAUGGUUCAUUUAUGCCACGAAUCUGCACAAGUACACAUCGUAAUACUCGCAGUACACAGUCUCCGCAUAAUUAGACGGAGUAGUGGGGAUCCUCAAGCAAUCGUGACGUCUAUAUAAUCGGAGUGACUGGCAGCAAAUGGUUCAUUCAUGCCACGAAUCUGCACAAGUACACAUCGUAAUACUCGCAGUACACAGUCUCCGCAUAAUGACAUGGAGUAGUAGGGAUCCUUUUGCACUCGUGCCGUCUAUAUAAUCGGAGUGACUGGCAGUAAAUGGUUCAUUCAUGCCACGAAUCUGCACAAGUACACAUCGUAAUACUCGCAGUACACAGUCUCCGCAUAAUGACAUGGAGUAGUGGGGAUCCUUUCGCACUCGUGCCGUCUAUAUAAUCGGAGUGACUGGCAGUAAAUGGUUCAUUCAUGCCACGAAUCUGCACAAGUACACAUCGUAAUACUCGCAGUACACAGUCUCCGCAUAAUUAGUCGGAGUAGUGGGGAUCGUCUCCCACUCGUGACGUCUAUAUAAUCGGAGUGAUUGGCAGUAAAUGGUUCAUUCAUUCCACUAAUUUCAACGAGUACACAUCGUAAUACUCGCAGUACACAGUCUCCGCAUAAUUACAUGGAGUAGUGGGGAUCGUCUCCCACUCGUGACGUCUAUAUAAUCGGACCGACUGGCAAUAAAUGAUUCAUUCAUGCCACGAAUCUGCACAAGUACACAUCGUAAUACUCGCAGUACACAGUCUCCGCAUAAUUAGUCGGAGUAGUGGGGAUCGUCUCCCACUCGUGACGUCUAUAUAAUCGGAGUGAUUGGCAGUAAAUGGUUCAUUCAUCCCAUUAAUUUCAACGAGUACAAAUCGUGGUUCUCGAAGUGCGCAUUCUCCACAAUAGAGAACUGUUUACGUAAGUACAAAAUUAUAUCACUCAUUCUUUCAACAUUCAAUAAGAUUUCUUUUGAUUUAGAAUUAAAUGGUGUCCCCACCCAUGACUAAAUGGUAAAAUAUCAAUGCGCGAAUGGCAGCAUAUUACAACGUUCUAUUUAACAUUUCAGGUGGGAUCCGUAGGAGGAGCCCAACGGUGUGUGCCUUUGGGCAAGUUACUGUCUCCAUACCCUUUUCCUUUUCGUUUAGCCUUUUAUUCCUUUUCUGCUUGAGAUUCCUUUUUGCUUAGAUCAUCGUGGAUGCUAGGCUGCGCGCGACGAUAACAAUAUCGGAUCUUUGACUGGCUCUGAGAAUUAUUGGCUUAGUUAUAUUUCCUACUUCGACGAGUGGACUUAGAAAUUUUCACAAGACCAUUCGUACGAAUAUUAACGAAGAGUUUACGCAAGCACAAUAUUAUAUCACACAUAUUUUCGAAACUCUAUACUAUUUCUUUUGUUUUAGACUUCGACUUUGCACUUUCGGAAGACGUUGAGAGUCUAUCUCCACGAGGAGACAUAGAAAUUUUCACAGGGUGCUAUUCGUGCGAGUAUUAACGAAUAGUUAAUUCAAAUGUAUAACAGUUUAUUUGAUUUUAGACUUAAAUUCGAAGUGGGGAUAAUUUUCUUCGUGAGUCGACAACAAUGUCGGGUCUUUGACCGACCUUUAUAGUUCCUAGAUCAGUGGUGCUUUGGACUUCGACGAAUGAACUUAGAAAAUUUCGCGGUUCCCACUCGUGUAAGUACUGACGAACAGUUAAUUCAAAUAUACAACAGUUUAUUUGAUUUUAGACUUAAAUGCGAAGUGGGGAUAGUCGGCUUCGAACGACGACAACAAAGUCGGGCCUUGAAACAUUUAUAGUUUCUGGUUCAGUUGUGCUUUGGACUUCGACGAGUGAACUUAGAAAAUAUCGCGGUUCCCACUCGUAUAAGUACCGACGAACAGUUAAUUCAAAUAUACAACAGUUUAUUUGAUUUUAGACUUAAAUGCGAAGUGGGGAUAGUCGGCUUCGAACGACGACAACAAAGUCGGGCCUUGAAACAACAUUUAUAGUUUCUGGUUCAGUUGUGCUUUGGACUUCGACGAGUGAACUUAGAAAAUAUCGCGGUUCCCACUCGUAUAAGUACUGACGAACAGUUAAUUCAAAUAUACAACAAUUUAUUUGAUUUUAGACUUAAAUGCGAAGUGGGGAUAGUCGGCUUCGAACGACGACAACAAAGUCGGGCCUUGAAACAACAUUUAUAGUUUCUGGUUCAGUUGUGCUUUGGACUUCGACGAGUGAACUUAGAAAAUAUCGCGGUUCCCACUCGUGUAAGUACUGACGAACAGUUAAUUCAAAUAUACAACAGUUUAUUUGAUUUUAGACUUAAAUGCGAAGUGGGGAUAGUCGGCUUCGAACGACGACAACAAAGUCGGGCCUUGAAACAACAUUUAUAGUUUCUGGUUCAGUUGUGCUUUGGACUUCGACGAGUGAACUUAGAAAAUAUCGCGGUUCCCACUCGUAUAAGUACUGACGAACAGUUAAUUCAAAUAUACAACAGUUUAUUUGAUUUUGACUUAAAUGCGAAGUGGGGAUAGUCGACUUCGAACGACGACAACAAAGUCGGGCCUUGAAACAACAUUUAUAGUUUCUGGUUCAGUUGUGCUUUGGACUUCGACGAGUGAACUUAGAAAAUAUCGCGGUUCCCACUCGUACUUAAAUGCGAAGUGGGGAUAGUCGGCUUCGAACGACGACAACAAAGUCGGGCCUUGAAACAACAUUUAUAGUUUCUGGUUCAGUUGUGCUUUGGACUUCGACGAGUGAACUUAGAAAAUAUCGCGGUUCCCACUCGUAUAAGUACCGACGAACAGUUAAUUCAAAUAUACAACAAUUUAUUUGAUUUUAGACUUAAAUGCGAAGUGGGGAUAGUCGGCUUCGAACGACGACAACAAAGUCGGGCCUUGAAACAACAUUUAUAGUUUCUGGUUCAGUUGUGCUUUGGACUUCGACGAGUGAACUUAGAAAAUAUCGCGGUUCCCACUCGUACUUAAAUGCGAAGUGGGGAUAGUCGGCUUCGAACGACGACAACAAAGUCGGGCCUUGAAACAACAUUUAUAGUUUCUGGUUCAGUUGUGCUUUGGACUUCGACGAGUGAACUUAGAAAAUAUCGCGGUUCCCACUCGUACUUAAAUGCGAAGUGGGGAUAGUCGGCUUCGAACGACGACAACAAAGUCGGGCCUUGAAACAACAUUUAUAGUUUCUGGUUCAGUUGUGCUUUGGACUUCGACGAGUGAACUUAGAAAAUAUCGCGGUUCCCACUCGUACUUAAAUGCGAAGUGGGGAUAGUCGGCUUCGAACGACGACAACAAAGUCGGGCCUUGAAACAACAUUUAUAGUUUCUGGUUCAGUUGUGCUUUGGACUUCGACGAGUGAACUUAGAAAAUAUCGCGGUUCCCACUCGUACUUAAAUGCGAAGUGGGGAUAGUCGGCUUCGAACGACGACAACAAAGUCGGGCCUUGAAACAACAUUUAUAGUUUCUGGUUCAGUUGUGCUUUGGACUUCGACCAGUGAACUUAGAAAUUUUCGCACCUUUGGGGGACUUUGAAAAUCUAUCUCCACGACUGGACUUAGAAAUUUUCGAACCUUUGGGGGACUUUGAAAAUCUAUCUUCACGAGUGGACUUAGAAAUUUUCGCACGAUGCCAAAUUUGAGCCAGUAUUAACGAAGACUUAAAAACCUCGUUGCAUUCGCGCGCGUUGCAGUGAUGUAAUCGAGUGUUAAUAUCGCUAAAAUAAAUUUAUCGCGAAAUAGAAGCAGUGUUUGUUCGGUCGCGUUUCGCGAUUUAAAACACAAGUGUUUUUGCGUAGACUGUGUGCAAUGCAGUCGUUAGAGUCAGUGUUUGUUCGCGUAGUUUUUUUGAUUUUUUAACAGUCGUACAGACUGUAUUUAUAAUAUAUAGUAGAGUUUCGCGAAAUAACUUCAGUGACCGUUCGUUAAUAAAUAACUACCGCGAAUUAGAGUCAGUGCAUCACUGAAGAGGAUCUCGACCAACGUCGAUGUCGACCUACCUCAUUUUCAACCAACUACAAAUCGUCCACCCUCAAUUUCGACCUAAAUCGCGGUCCAGUGUUUUGGAGCCGUCGCAGAACUUCUAAAGUAGUAAGUUAAUUUUUAAGUCCCUCCGAUCACUCAGUCAUGUCGAGGACGAAAGGUCCGAAUCGGCACGAGUGAUUGGUUGUAAUUAAUUAGUAGAAGAGCAAUGAGUGACCACGAGUAAAUUUCUUCGGAGAUUUACUCGUGAAUGGUUCGUUAUUUUUUGAUUUAUUUAUUAGAUCAGGAUAGAGUCUUCUUGCUCAAAGGCGUUAAUUAUAAUUAUUUGAAAUUUUGAACAUUUGAAUGCAUUUUUAAAUAAUUUUCUCUCGCGAAAAUAGUAAAGUAUCGCGAUAUUCGCAAAUUUUAGUAAUGAAUAAGCAAGAAGACAUUUGCGAUGGAUAGUCUCUGGAUUACAAGCGAUAUUGUAUUAUUUAUUUUCUAAUAAUUAGAGUAAUCGCUUGUAAGAAGGAGCGUCCAUGAUUUUUCAUUACAUUUUUAAAUAAAGAUUAAUCAAUUUUAUUAAUAAAAGAAAAUCUCAAUAGAGUCAUUGCUUUUGAAAGAACAAAGUAGAGUAGAGUCGUUGAUAAAAGAUAAAGAGACUUGUAGAAUCAUAACGCGUAGAACAUAGAGUAACUUAAUCAAUUUUUAGUUUAGGAUUUUCAGCAAUUAAUAUAUUAAUUCUCGUUUCUCUACCGAUGCUUUCUCGAUUUUUCGUUUCAGGAUUGGUUUAGAGUUGCGUUAGAUUCGUUAGUUUUCUUCGACGUUUUAAAAUAAGAGAUAGUUCUAGUUUCUUAGCGAUAGUUGACGAUAGUUCAAAUGUUCUAUAGUAGUUGUUAGGGUACGAAGCAAAGAAGAGGCUAUGUGCCGAAGAGGCCCCCACAAUUUGUGGCUCAAGAGGGCAACUAUUAGACUAUUGAGUUAUUUUCGAAGUUUCGACAGAACACUUCGAGAAUAACUCUUAGUCAUAUUUUAAUUAUACCAUGUUGUCGCUCAAAAUGCUCUUAUAUAAUAAUAAUAUCACUUUCAGAAAUUAAUAAUACUCAUUCCGUGUCCCAUCUCACAGUGCCACGCGUUUGGGAAUAGAAUUUUUACGUAUUUUAUACAUUUUCAUUAUUAAAGUCGAGUAAUAAAUUUUUCCCAUACUUCUUUCCUAAAGUUCAAUUAAAUCCGUAAUUUUAUUUUUAUAAAAUUAAGUUUUAUAUUAAAGUAAUAAUUUCGAAACGCAUAAAAUAUGGCAAUUGUGAGGACCACUGAAAGUGCACUGAAUAAAAGUGCACAUGGGAAUGAAACAAGAACAUUAAAAUACAUAGCAUAUUCUCGUCUCACUUUUACAGGAAGGAUACCUAACAGGAUUCCAAUAUUACCCAGCCUAUGGAUGCAUAUUGUAGAUUGAACAAUUAUUUAAAACAGUUGAUUAACUUGUUCAUUAACUCCUCUAUCUUCUCUCGGGUGGGACCCUUGGGAGGGGCCCUCGGGUGUGGGCCUUAGGCGGGUUUCGUUCUUUCACUAAGGAAAAAUUAAACUAAUUUAUGAUACUCUGAUUUUCACUUGGUGAAAUGAUCUUUAGAUCCAUUCUUCUGAGUUCUAUCUUUCUCACGUUCCGUGUUUCUUAUCUUUUAUUCUUUUCCUUUUUCUUUUUCUAUUUCUCCUUCACUUUCUCUUUCUCUUUCUCUUAAUCUUUUACGUUUUAUCUGUUUCAGAUUAGAUCGUCGAGGAAUCGAUCAUCGUGAAA